AUUGAACGCUGGCGGCAUGCCCUACACAUGCAAGUCGAACGGCAGCACGGGUGCUUGCACCUGGUGGCGAGUGGCGAACGGGUGAGUAAUACAUCGGAACGCACCUUAUCGUGGGGGAUAACGCAGCGAAAGCUGUGCUAAUACCGCAUACGCCCUGAGGGGGAAAGCGGGGGAUCGCAAGACCUCGCGCGAUUAGAGCGGCCGAUGCCUGAUUAGCUUGUUGGUGGGGUAAAAGCCCACCAAGGCGACGAUCAGUAGCUGGUCUGAGAGGACGAUCAGCCACACUGGGACUGAGACACGGCCCAGACUCCUACGGGAGGCAGCAGUGGGGAAUUUUGGACAAUGGGGCAACCCUGAUCCAGCAAUGCCGCGUGAGUGAAGAAGGCCUUCGGGUUGUAAAGCUCUUUUGUCAGGGAAGAAACACCGGCUCUAACACAGUCCGGGAAUGACGGUACCUGAAGAAUAAGCACCGGCUAACUACGUGCCAGCAGCCGCCGUAA
This 500-nucleotide ribosomal RNA is filed under the name uncultured bacterium. RNAcentral describes it as "partial 16S ribosomal RNA". It matches the Rfam family "Bacterial small subunit ribosomal RNA", at positions 29 to 523 of the family's 1533-position model. The record is from RNAcentral.